UACAUGGGGUGCAAACGUUGCUCGGAAUUAUUGGGCGUAAAGCGCGCGUAGGCGGUUACUUAAGUCGGAUGUGAAAGCCCUCGGCUUAACUGAGGAAGUGCACCCGAAACUGAGUAGCUAGAGUACGAAAGAGGGUCGCGGAAUUCCCGGUGUAGAGGUGAAAUUCGUAGAUAUCGGGAGGAACAUCGGUGGCGAAGGCGGCGACCUGGGUCGAGACUGACGCUGAGGCGCGAAAGCCAGGGGAGCGAACGGG
RNAcentral lists this ribosomal RNA (253 nucleotides) under uncultured bacterium. RNAcentral's name for it is "partial 16S ribosomal RNA". It matches the Rfam family "Bacterial small subunit ribosomal RNA", at positions 524 to 776 of the family's 1533-position model. The record is from RNAcentral.